Molecule: unclassified non-coding RNA, 397 nt
Filed under: uncultured Planctomycetia bacterium
Lineage: Bacteria; Pseudomonadati; Planctomycetota; Planctomycetia
Description: contains 16S-23S intergenic spacer region
Source: RNAcentral
UCCGAGUUGACCCCGGCAGUCUCCUAUGAGUCCCCGGCAUGACCCGCUGGCAACUGGAGACAAGGGUUUCGCUCGUUACGGGACUUAACCCAACAUCUCACGACACGAGCUGACGACAGCCAUGCAGCACCUGUAGUGGGUUCCGGACUGGAUACCGUUGGCUGGCCGUUUCCGGCAGCUACUCCCCACCGCUUUCGCACAUGUCAAGUCCAGGAUAAGGUUCUUCGCGUAGCCUCGAAUUAAGCCACAUGCUCCACCGCUUGUGUGAGCCCCCGUCAAUACCUUUGAGUUUCAGCCUUGCGACCAUACUCCCCAGGCGGGGUACUUAUCACUUUUGCUUCGGCAGGGAACCCAUGUAAGUCCCCUACCUAGUACCCAUCGUUUAGGGCCAGGACUA